GACGAACGCUGGCGGCGUGCCUAAUACAUGCAAGUAGAACGCUGAAGGAGGAGCUUGCUUCUCUGGAUGAGUUGCGAACGGGUGAGUAACGCGUAGGUAACCUGCCUGGUAGCGGGGGAUAACUAUUGGAAACGAUAGCUAAUACCGCAUAAGAGUAGAUGUUGCAUGACAUUUGCUUAAAAGGUGCAAUUGCAUCACUACCAGAUGGACCUGCGUUGUAUUAGCUAGUUGGUGAGGUAACGGCUCACCAAGGCGACGAUACAUAGCCGACCUGAGAGGGUGAUCGGCCACACUGGGACUGAGACACGGCCCAGACUCCUACGGGAGGCAGCAGUAGGGAAUCUUCGGCAAUGGACGGAAGUCUGACCGAGCAACGCCGCGUGAGUGAAGAAGGUUUUCGGAUCGUAAAGCUCUGUUGUAAGAGAAGAACGAGUGUGAGAGUGGAAAGUUCACACUGUGACGGUAUCUUACCAGAAAGGGACGGCCAACUACGUG
Molecule: ribosomal RNA, 495 nt
Filed under: uncultured bacterium
Lineage: Bacteria
Description: partial 16S ribosomal RNA
Rfam family: Bacterial small subunit ribosomal RNA
Source: RNAcentral